Non-coding RNA from Paralichthys olivaceus (Japanese flounder), 2216 nucleotides. The record is from RefSeq and is a predicted model, not a curated record. Lineage: Eukaryota; Metazoa; Chordata; Actinopteri; Pleuronectiformes; Paralichthyidae.
CACACACACACACACACUCACACAAACACACACGGGACAAAUAGUGUUUUACAAAAUUCUCCCGCUGGUUUGACUCAUCUCCCUGGCUGCACCAGGUGGGCGGGGUUUAGCACUCAAAAUGACGCACCGGGGUUAAACAGUUUAUCCAAUCACAGCAGAGACGUUAGUUGCUGAGGUGCUGAUUGGUCUGUUCACGAGUCAGUCUUCAGAAAAAUGUAGUGGAAUCCAUCUUGAUGAAUCAGGAUUCCAGCCAAUCCCAGACCAGCUGACGGCGGUUAAAGGGGCGGGCAAAGCGUUGUUUGACUUCACGGCGGAGAGCGAGGACGAGCUCACAUUAAAAGUACGAGAGCGUCGCGAGUAGCAGAGGUUUCAUGAUCUCAUUCUGAACCGCAGACUGAAAAUAAAGAUGGACGACAUGACAGCUACUAAAUCGUCUCAAUCCUCUGUGUUCAACGUAUUUUGGAGGAAGUGGAAACACGUCGUCAUUCUUUAUUUGUCGCCAAAAACAAUGUUCAUUCCACAGACUUAAAAACAGCUCCCCUCUCCCUCUGUGUCCCCCUGCAGGUCGGUGACAUUAUAACACAGGUGGAGUUUGUGGAUGAGCAGUGGAUUCUGGGAGUCGUGGGUGGGAGACGUGGGAUAUUUCCGAAAAACUACAUUUCUCUUCUCUGACGAGGAAACAGCAGAGAGGAUUUUUAAAGAAAGAUUGACUUCCUGCGUCCGCAGCUGCUCUCGGUCAAACGGGCGGGAAACUGCGCCGCCACCGACAGACACACGGACAGUGUUUUUUUUUUUAAUUUCUUUUUCCCCAAAACUGAUCAGUUAAUUUUCUGGUCGGCUUUUAAAGAUCGUUUUGUCACUGAACUGAAUGAACACGACAAUGAACGAGACGGACCUUCGCCGGCUUAACGACGGAGUAGAACUGGUAUCGUGUCGUCACGGAUGUUUCCUCUGUGGAACUGGAUUUGACUUUUAUUUUGGAUUUGAUUCAUGGACUCUGACAAGUGUUUUCACUGCGUCUGCCUUAAAGAGCCGCCGUCUUCAGACGAUCUCAGCUUCUCUUUUCUCCUCAUCCUGCGUCAGUGUCCAGCUUUGAUCGGGACGGUCCCAGCUCGGCGAGGGGACGCCUGCGUCACUCAUUUCAUCUGUAACGUAGUGAAACAUGAAGAGCGUCUCAUCACGAGCAGAUUAGAAACUGACUGAAACAUCCACGUUGUUCAGCGGUGAGACGAGAGACAGGACGUAGUUCGUGUCCUGACAGGAAACAGACGCUGAAUAUUUUUCAAACUGUACAAUUUGUUGAUCCGAAGAACAAAUAUCGACCUUCUCUGAAUUGUGAAGUUGUCUCUGGUACGUGUAGAUAUUUAUGAAAGAUUGAACAUAUUUCAUGGAUGAAUUCUAAAAAGCUUUUUAAAAAAAGAUUUACGUUCCCGUUGAACUGGAUCAUUUUUCAUGUGAAGGAGCGAUGACAGAAACUUGUUUUUAGAUUCAAUUUCAAAUUUGUCAAAUCGUUAACAGUGACGAACAAUAAACUUAAUUGGUAUUAAACAGAUUAAAAUGAUUAAAUUCAUCGUUGAUUAUAACCUGGAUUUAACGUCUGAGUGAACUAGAGACGGUUUAUGACGAGUGAUAAGAACCCGUCGGAGUUAUUCUGGUAAUGUUUCUUCUCAAUCACGAUAUUUUUCUCGUAGUAUUACAUUAUUCACUGGUGUGAGGUUUUAUAUCAGGCUGGUUCUCAAACAUUUAUGAGGCGCAUGACAAAUUAUUGUACCUUUACUCGCUAUCUUUAAUUGUUCCUCAACAUUUCCUUUUUUACAACGAUACAUUUCAAAAACAGCAUCUCGUAUUUCUGUGUCUUUGUUUCCUGAGUCGUUCUUUAGGUUUGAGUUACAGCGUCGUCACAACUAAUUUCAUUUCAACGUGAGAGAAAAUCUUACAGGUUUCAUCUGCAUCAAUGUAAUGAUGUGUGUGUUAAAGGUAUUUCAUGUGUAACCAAACAUUCAAAGUUUUUAAUCCAAAUAAAAUUCCUGAAAAUUGCACAUUUUAUAUUUAAUGUCUCGGCGGUCACGUCACUAAUUCUAUUUCUUAAACGUCCCUGUUGUUAAUAACGUAGCAGGAAGACGAGCGUGGCGACAACGCUGAGGGUUCACAUGACGCCACAGCAUCAGUUUUAUUUUCACAGUCAAAUGAAUCUUUCCUUGAUACAGUCAGGGUUU